ACAAGGGCAUACGGUGGAUGCCUUGGUGUCGAGAGGCGAUGAAGGACGCAGCACGUUGCGAAAAGCUUUGGGGAGCCGCGAGCAGGCUUUGAUCCAGAGAUGUCCGAAUGGGGAAACCCGGCAGCCCAUGUGGCUGUCAUCACCUUCUGAAAAGAUAGGAAGGUGAAGCGAACGCGGGGAACUGAAACAUCUUACGUACCCGCAGGAAAAGAAAUCAAACGAGAUUCCGUUAGUAGCGGCGAGCGAAACCGGACCAGGCCAGUGUCAUAAACCAUGCAGACGUUAGUUGAACAGCUCUGGAAAGGGCGGCCGUAGACGGUGAUAGCCCGGUAGGCGAAAGCCUCUGUAUGGGGGACACGAAGAGUAGGGCGGGACACGUGAAAUCCUGCCUGAACAUGGGAGGACCUCCUUCCAAGCCUAAAUACUCCUCGGCAACCGAUAGUGAACCAGUACCGUGAGGGAAAGGUGAAAAGCACCCCGAUGAGGGGAGUGAAAUAGUUUCUGAAACCGUAUGCCUACAAGCAGUGGGAGGGUGUUCGCAAGAACGCCUGACCGCGUACCUUUUGUAUAAUGGGUCAGCGAGUUGAUCUGUGCGGCAAGCUUAAGCCGAGAGGCGUAGGCGCAGCGAAAGCGAGUCUUAAAUGGGCGCAUGAGUCGUAUGGAUCAGACCCGAAACCGGGUGAUCUAUCCAUGGGCAGGGUGAAGGUGCGGUAACACGUACUGGAGGCCCGGACCCACCCAGGUUGAAAACUGGGGGGAAGACCUGUGGAUAGGAGUGAAAGGCUAAACAAACCCGGAAAUAGCUGGUUCUCCUCGAAAGCUAUUUAGGUAGCGUCUCGCGUAUGUCUGCCGGGGGUAGAGCACUGGAUGGGCUAGGGGGACUUCCCGUCUUACCAAACCCAACCAAACUCCGAAUACCGGCAGGAUGAUAGCGCGGGAAACAGACGGCGGGUGCUAAGGUCCGUCGUCAAAAGGGAAACAGCCCAGAUCGCCAGCUAAGGUCCCCAAGUCGGAUUUAAGUGGGAAAGGAUGUGGGAAUGCAUAGACAGCCAGGAGGUUGGCUUAGAAGCAGUCACCCUUUAAAGAAAGCGUAAUAGCUCACUGGUCGAGUGGAUCUGCGCCGAAAAUGUAACGGGGCUCAAAAUCCGCACCGAAGCUGCGAGUGAUCGGUUUCGACCGGUCGCGGUAGGGGAGCAUUCCGUAAGCCUGCGAAGCCGCGCUGUGAGGCACGGUGGAGGUAUCGGAAGUGAGAAUGCUGACAUGAGUAGCGAUAAAACAGGUGAGAAACCUGUUCGCCGUAAGCCCAAGGUUUCCUGCGCGAGGCUGUUCCGCGCAGGGUUAGUCGGUCCCUAAGGUGAGGCUAAAGCAGCGUAAUCGAUGGGAAGCCGGUCAAUAUUCCGGCACUGUAUGGUAUUGCGAUGGGGGGACGGAGAAGGGUAGAUCUACCGGGCGGUGGUUGUCCCGGAUUAAGCGUGUAGGCGUGGCCGCGUAGGCAAAUCCGCGUGGUCGUUAAGCCAAGGCGUGAUGACGAGCCGUUAGGCGAAGUGAUUAAUCCCAUGCUCCCAGGAAAAGCCUCUAAGCUUCAGAUACCAAACAACCGUACUGCAAACCAACACAGGUGGGCGAGGAGAGAAUCCUCAGGCGAGUGAGAGAACCUGGGUGAAGGAACUCGGCAAAAUUGCCCCGUAACUUCGGGAGAAGGGGUGCCCCCAGUACCGUGAAGCGCUUCGCGCGCCAGCGGGUGGGGGUCGCAGUGAAAAGGGGGGAGCGACUGUUUACCAAAAACACAGGGCUCUGCGAAAUCGAAAGAUGACGUAUAGGGUCUGACGCCUGCCCGGUGCUGGAAGGUUAAGAGGAGAGGUGCAAGCUUUGAAUUGAAGCCCCAGUAAACGGCGGCCGUAACUAUAACGGUCCUAAGGUAGCGAAAUUCCUUGUCGGGUAAGUUCCGACCUGCACGAAUGGCGUAACGACUUCCCCGCUGUCUCCACCCAGGACUCAGCGAAAUUGAAUUCGCAGUGAAGAUGCUGCGUACCCACGGCAAGACGGAAAGACCCCGUGAACCUUUACUAUAGCUUUGCAUUGGCGCUAGGAAUGAUUUGUGUAGGAUAGGCGGGAGACAGCGAGCGGGGGGCGCCAGCCCUUCGGGAGUCACCCUUGAAAUACCGCCCUGAUCCUUUUUGGCGUCUAACUCCGGCCCGUUAUCCGGGUUGAGGACAGUGCAUGGUGGGUAGUUUGGCUGGGGCGGUCGCCUCCUAAAGAGUAACGGAGGCGCGCAAAGGUUCGCUCAGGUUGGUCGGACAUCAACCGAAGAGUGCAAAGGCAAAAGCGAGCCUGACUGCGAGACUGACAAGUCGAGCAGGGACGAAAGUCGGCCUUAGUGAUCCGGCGGUUCCUUGAGGAAGGGCCGUCGCUCAUCGGAUAAAAGGUACUCCGGGGAUAACAGGCUGAUCUCCCCCAAGAGUUCACAUCGACGGGGAGGUUUGGCACCUCGAUGUCGGCUCAUCGCAUCCUGGGGCUGAAGUCGGUCCCAAGGGUAUGGCUGUUCGCCAUUUAAAGCGGUACGCGAGCUGGGUUCAGAACGUCGUGAGACAGUUCGGUCCCUAUCUGCCGUGGGCGUUGGAGAAUUGAGAGGGGCUGCUCCUAGUACGAGAGGACCGGAGUGGACAUGCCUCUAGUGUGCCGGUUGUUCUGCCAAGGGCAUUGCCGGGUAGCCACGCAUGGAAGGGAUAACCGCUGAAAGCAUCUAAGCGGGAAACCCGCCUCAAGAUGAAUUCUCCCAACGAGACCCGUGGAAGACCACCACGUUGAUAGGCCGGGUGUGGAAGUGCGGCAACGCACGCAGCUUACCGGUACUAAUGGGUCCAUUGGCUUUAUU
RNAcentral lists this ribosomal RNA (2875 nucleotides) under Magnetococcales bacterium WMHbin3. RNAcentral describes it as "bacterial LSU rRNA". It matches the Rfam family "Bacterial large subunit ribosomal RNA". The record is from RNAcentral. Lineage: Bacteria; Pseudomonadati; Pseudomonadota; Magnetococcia; Magnetococcales.